GAUGAACGCUGGCGGCGUGCCUAACACAUGCAAGUCGAACGGGAACCCGAUUUCGGUUGGGAGAGAGUGGCGAACGGGUGAGUAACACGUUGGUGACCUGCCCCGAGGUGGGGGAUAACUGUCGGAAACGACAGCUAAUACCCCGGAUGUAGCUGGACUUAGAAGCCAGCCACUAAAGCUACGGUGCCUGGGGAGGGGCCUGCGGGCUAUCAGCUAGUUGGUGAGGUAAUAGCUCACCAAGGCCGAGACGGCUAGGGGGCGUGAGAGCGUGGCCCCCCACAAUGGAACUGAGACACGGUCCAUACUCCUACGGGAGGCAG
This 320-nucleotide ribosomal RNA is filed under the name uncultured Chloroflexota bacterium. RNAcentral describes it as "bacterial SSU rRNA". It matches the Rfam family "Bacterial small subunit ribosomal RNA", at positions 28 to 351 of the family's 1533-position model. Lineage: Bacteria; Bacillati; Chloroflexota. The record is from RNAcentral.